UGGGGAAUAUUGGACAAUGGGGGAAACCCUGAUCCAGCGACGCCGCGUGGGUGAAGAAGGCCUGCGGGUUGUAAAGCCCUUUCGGUAGGGACGAAAACUCCUGCUCUAACACGGCAGGAGCUUGACUUAACCUACAAAAGAAGCACCGGCUAACUCUGUGCCAGCAGCCGCGGUAAUACAGAGGGUGCGAGCGUUAAUCGGAAUUACUGGGCGUAAAGCGCACGUAGGCGGCUUGGCAUGUCGGGUGUGAAAUCCCCGGGCUCAACCUGGGAACUGCAUCCGAAACUGCCUUGCUAGAGUAUGGGAGAGGGAGGCGGAAUUUCCGGUGUAGCAGUGAAAUGCGUAGAUAUCGGAAGGAACAUCAGUGGCGAAGGCGGCCUCCUGGACCAAUACUGACGCUCAGGUGCGAAAGCGUGGGGAGCAAACAGG
RNAcentral lists this ribosomal RNA (429 nucleotides) under uncultured Sinobacteraceae bacterium. Its description in RNAcentral is "bacterial SSU rRNA". It matches the Rfam family "Bacterial small subunit ribosomal RNA", at positions 355 to 776 of the family's 1533-position model. Lineage: Bacteria; Pseudomonadati; Pseudomonadota; Gammaproteobacteria; Nevskiales; Nevskiaceae. The record is from RNAcentral.